RNAcentral lists this ribosomal RNA (253 nucleotides) under uncultured bacterium. RNAcentral's name for it is "partial 16S ribosomal RNA". It matches the Rfam family "Bacterial small subunit ribosomal RNA", at positions 524 to 776 of the family's 1533-position model. The record is from RNAcentral.
UACGAAGGGGGCUAGCGUUGAUCGGAUUGACUGGGCGUAAAGGGCGCGUAGGCGGAUAGUACAGUCAGGCGUGAAAUUCCUGGGCUCAACCUGGGGGCUGCGUUUGAUACGUGUUGUCUGGAGUUCGGAAGAGGGUCGUGGAAUUCCCAGUGUAGAGGUGAAAUUCGUAGAUAUUGGGAAGAACACCGGUGGCGAAGGCGGCGACCUGGUCCGAUACUGACGCUGAGGCGCGAAAGCGUGGGGAGCAAACAGG